AGAGUGAACAAAAUCAGAGCUUUCUUCACAAAGGAAAAGAGUGAGGAAUGAAUGAAGUUGACAACCCAGUGACAUCUGCAAUUCCCUUGUGACUUUUUACUUGCCAGACUCACUCUUCUCCUAAGUAGCACAAAGGAAUUGUUGCUUACGGUAGAUCUAGGUAAAAACUGGCUGGAUUUUUGGAGGAGUUACCAGGUCAUCUGUAGCUGGCCUUUCUCUAUGCAGACCCAAUACCACCUAGAUCCUUCUGCUCACCGUGGGCUAGUGCUGUGAAUUCAUUCAUUCACUCAUGGAAGCAUGUUGAUUUCUAUCACCUACCAGCCCAUCAAGUAGGUGCUAGGGAUAUAGCAAAUAAGCCACAGAUCCUAUCCUCAAGUGCCUCUGUUAUUGCUCAGUCUCAUUUGUUUUUUCUUCCAAAAUAUGAGAUAGGCAGAGAAGAUGUUCCUUUUGUACAGAAAAUGAUAUUGAGUUAUGAAUUAGCAAUGUGAUAUUCCUGCUAACACAGAAGCUCACCUCAGAAAGAAAUGGUCAGAAAUGUAAACAGCCAACUCUAAGCCUAAUUCUCAUUCCAGUCAGCUGCAGACCAUGACCCCACUAGAGACCUAUUCCAUGGGACAAGGUAGCAAAUGAGGCAAAACACUAGUGCCUGUGUUCUCCAUUCCCCAAACCAGCAUUUUCCAGAAUGUGUUUCUAUGAGAUGUUCCUAGGAAGAAAAGAGUUCCAUGGUCAGAUAAUUUUGUGACCUAUUAGCCCUGCCCUCUCUCGGAGAGUCACAAUUUGCUUCAAUGCACUGAAGUCUCUGAGGAGUCCUAAACUCAUGUUGCAUGUGGAUGGCUGCAGCUCAGCAGCUGUAGAAUCUGCACCACCUGUCUUAUGCUGAGAUCCAGCCUGGAGGAACACCCCUCUGUGGAAUGUGGCACUCUCUUGGCAGAAAGAGCAAGAAAGCAGGCAGAAACUCAUGAAGACUCUUAAAGGCUUCUGCUUGGGCACGGGGUAUGUUUCAUCUACUCACAGUCCACUGGCCAACACAAGUCACAUGGUCAAACCCCAAGUCCAUCCGUGAGUCAGGAGUUGUAUCCUCCUCCCUCCUAUGGGAGACACUGCAAGUCACAUGACAUUACAGGGAAAGGGGUCACGUGUAGUCCUCUUAAAAGGAAGGGACAGGCCGUCCGGGAGGUGAGGGGCGCCUCUGCCCGGCCGCCCCUACUGGGAAGUGAGGACCCCUCUGCCAGGCCAGCCGCCCCGUCCGGGAGGGAGGUGGGGGGGACAGCCCCCCG
This 1277-nucleotide long non-coding RNA is filed under the name Homo sapiens (human). RNAcentral's name for it is "non-protein coding lnc-MYC-18:2". The record is from RNAcentral. Lineage: Eukaryota; Metazoa; Chordata; Mammalia; Primates; Hominidae.